GCAGAGCAUCCUACGGGAGGCAGCAGUGGGGAAUAUUGCACAAUGGGCGCAAGCCUGAUGCAGCCAUGCCGCGUGUAUGAAGAAGGCCUUCGGGUUGUAAAGUACUUUCAGCAGUGAGGAAGGUGGAUAUGUUAAUAGCAUAUUCAUUUGACGUUAGCUGCAGAAGAAGCACCGGCUAACUCCGUGCCAGCAGCCGCGGUAAUACGGAGGGUGCGAGCGUUAAUCGGAAUUACUGGGCGUAAAGCGCAUGCAGGUGGUUUGUUAAGUCAGAUGUGAAAGCCCGGGGCUCAACCUCGGAAUUGCAUUUGAAACUGGCAAACUAGAGUACUGUAGAGGGGGUAGAAUUUCAGGUGUAGCGGUGAAAUGCGUAGAGAUCUGAAGGAAUACCGGUGGCGAAGGCGGCCCCCUGGACAGAUACUGACACUCAGAUGCGAAAGCGUGGGGAGCAAACAGGAUUAGAUACCCUCGUAG
RNAcentral lists this ribosomal RNA (471 nucleotides) under uncultured bacterium. RNAcentral's name for it is "bacterial SSU rRNA". It matches the Rfam family "Bacterial small subunit ribosomal RNA", at positions 329 to 793 of the family's 1533-position model. The record is from RNAcentral.